RNAcentral lists this long non-coding RNA (214 nucleotides) under Lathyrus oleraceus (garden pea). RNAcentral's name for it is "Pisum sativum (pea) long non-coding RNA (PSAT_LNC036499)". Lineage: Eukaryota; Viridiplantae; Streptophyta; Magnoliopsida; Fabales; Fabaceae. The record is from RNAcentral.
UAAUAUCCAGGACAACUAAUCAAAACGCAGCGUACAGGGAGGACAAAUGAAAUGUUCUGAUUGGCUCAUGCCAAUAGAACAGUGCCAUACACAUGCAAACACGAGAGGAAUUCUGGGCAACGCUUAGAAAUUAGGGUUUUUCAUGUACAGUGUUCAUCAUCAUCUUCUUCACAAAUCGAAAAAUAUUUUAGUCACAAAAUUAAACAACAGCCAU